Cephus cinctus (wheat stem sawfly) is the source of this 485-nucleotide long non-coding RNA. RefSeq lists it as uncharacterized. The transcript has 3 exons. The record is from RefSeq and is a predicted model, not a curated record. NCBI's taxonomy places the organism in Eukaryota, Metazoa, Arthropoda, Insecta, Hymenoptera, Cephidae.
CAUUCUGAAAGGAAAAUACAGCUUGGUAAAUGAUUCAGCUGUUGGUUACGGAUGGAUGAUUGCGACACUUCCGGCAUUGCUUAAUUAUUAUCUUUUUCCUGAUUAUGAGUGGCUGCUAUCUGAAACGAGGGUCUUCAGGAUGUCGAAGAGGGAUGCACGGAUGAAAUAGGAUACGCGGAGGAUACCAGGGGAACGAAACUGGCCAAUAAGAGGGCAGAGGGGAAUGGAAAUAGCAAGGGAACGAGAGAAUGAAGGAAGAGGAGGAUUAGCCUUCCUUUCCACCUGUCUUCAUUGUUCCCCGAGCUCAAGUGGCUUUCGCGCUAAUACCCUUAACGGAUCAAAAUCGAUUUCCUAUUGGUAGAAUUCGUGGGAGUGGAAAAAAGGAUAAUCGAAGCUACGUUACCAUGACGACGUCGGUUAUAAGAUUGGCCCAUAGGAGAAGCCCGUGUCCCAAAAUUUCUACUGGCUUAUACUCCGCGCGAUCA